Molecule: non-coding RNA, 3416 nt
Organism: Bactrocera oleae (olive fruit fly)
Lineage: Eukaryota; Metazoa; Arthropoda; Insecta; Diptera; Tephritidae
Source: RefSeq, a predicted model, not a curated record
GUUGAAAGCCUUAGAAAUGUACCAUUUCGUGCUAAAAAAAAUUUUCAGACAGUUUUGUGAUUGCUUGGCUAGACCACUCGUCAAAGAUGGAUUUAAUUUUAAUGUUAAAGUUGCAGAAGGUGAAUUACCGAAACUAUUGAUAAAAUUAUGGUAAUCGUCGAGUCGAGCAGAAGCUAAUAAUUGCAUAAAAUAACAGUUCAAUAAGGCACAAUACAAAAAGUAGCUCGAUCUACACAUGUCACGCGAGUUAGCGGAAGAAACCCUCAUGUACCGAUUUACCAUCUGCGAAUCGCUGCUGAGUCGAAACAAAAUUGGGCCACUUCUAUAACGGAAUAUUACUGGUGAUGAAAAGUGGGUCACUUACGUUACUUACAACAAAAUCAAACGAAAACGGUCGUGAUUGAAACGCAGUGACCCAACUCAAACGGUGGCCAAGCCUGUAUUGACGGCCACGAAGGUUUUGCUAUGUGUUUGGUUGAAUUGGCGAGGAUUCAUUUAGUAUGAGCUGUUCUCGUCCGGCCGAACUCUUAAAGCGGAUCUCUACUUUCACCAAUUGGACCGUCUGAAGGAAGCAAUCGCCCAGAAGAGGAGGUUACAUCACAAAUUUGUCACAGUUUCUGCAUAGUUAUGCAAAUCUUGGCGCUGCAGAGCAUGAAAUUUCCAACGCUUAAGCUGAAAUAAAUUUCAAUAGUUAAUUUUAAUCUACGUUUUGCGAAACCUGUAAAGCGGCAUUACAAAAUGAUUGCUGGUGGAAAAUUUACGCAGGAAUAUGCGCACUUUUCAUAACUCAUAAUUGCACCGAUAAAAUUGUAAAAUAUGUAAAGAUAACUAGGAGGGCUGAAAUCAUGUGUAUGCUCAUCCGCCAAUUUUUUGCGACUCCCACUUCAUCAGCUGCCAGUUUUUUUUUACUUUUUUACUUUUAUUUUAAAUUUGUUUCUGUACUUUAGUAACAUUAAUAAAUUACUAAUAAAAAAAAUUAGAUGUUAAAAAUAUUUUUUGCCUUUAAUUUACGACACUUUAAAAAUUACGUAGGGGGUAUUAAGGGGGUUUUAUACCUUAAUACAAAAGUAGUGGACUCCUUUUUACUAAACCAUAUAUAUUACAUAAUUUCCUUUCUGCGAAACACUGUAUUUAAGAGUAGUUUACGCUGAGAGCAACGUACAACAGCGAACAAGCAUUGAUUGGUGGUCUUGUUUGAUCUUGAUUUGCUACGUUCUUGCGAGAUGCGUCAUUUUAAGUUUACUAGCGCAUAACCUUAAAGAAGUGCAAGAACAAAAAACAUUGUCGUACACAUACAUACAUAUAUACAUAACGCUGUAGUUGCAGUAUUUGUGUGCAGCGAGAAAGAAUUUGUCGGCUUGAGGGUUAAAAGUACUAUAUCUAUGUAUGUGCUUAUAAAUUUAACUAUUUAUUAAAAGCUCUUGCUUAUUUUACAGUUUUCAGGUAUAAUGACAUAAAUGAAGGUAAUAUUUUAUGCUACUUAUAUAUUAGCCGGCUAUGCGUGUAAAGCGUGAGCACUUUCAAUGAUGACGUCACCACAACUGUUGUUUAUAUAACAACCGAGUAAGGAGGAAUACACUCAAUGAAUAAAAAAAAGCUGUUUCUAUAAGUAAGGGCCAUCAGAAAUUGCUGUUCUGUUGAAUUUACUUCACUUGUGUUUACUUAUUUUGAUCGGUUAGUCAGUUUGUAUGACAGCUAUAUGCUAUAGUAGUCCGAUUUGAGUAAUAUGCUCGGAUAUUGUAGGGUUGCCUUGGACAGUAAUCUAUGCCAAAUUUCGUAAAGAUAUCUUGUCAAAUAAAAAAGCUUUUCAUACAAGCACUUUAUGCCGAUCGUUCAGUUUGUAUGGCAGCUACAUGCUAUAGUGGUGCGAUAUCGGCAGUUCCAACAAAUGAGCAGCUUCUUGGGGGGAAAAGGAAGUGUGCAAAAUUUCAGAUCAAUAUCUCCAAUAUCUAGAUACUACUAUAAAAUAUAAAUGUUAAUUCUCGCAAAAUCAUUAAGAAUAAUUAAGACUUUUCAUAAACCUUAAAAUAGAAAAUUGCUUAAGUUUCCCAAAUUUUGUAUUAAUUACUAACACUAGAACGCUUAACAGCAAAUUGUCUAUAAAUUAUUAAACAUUACACUCGUAAAUGUUUCAACUCUCCGAAGCGAUAUCUGCAGUCAUGCUGAGACUCAAUAUGCCAGUAAUAUUUAUUGAGAGCCCAGCCCUAUUGUAUUUUUGCAGCCGCUACUCGGCCUCGUUUAUCGUUUGCUGGUCGUUGAUUGUUUGUUUUUGUUGUUGUUACUGUGGCUGUUUCUGUUGUGUUGAUAACAACCCCCUGAUAUGGCUGUGACAUGACCUGCUGUGGAUUGCGACUACAGCGAUGGCAAAUCGCUGAUCGUAGUCGCAAUUAAAUGCGGGCGGGUGUUUCUCAUAUAUAUGUAUAUACAUACAUAUAGAUACAUAAAUACAUAUGCAACACAUACAUAUAUAAUAUAUAAACGCUGCACUGUACUCCCAUUGUCGCAGUGCUGGAAUCCUGCUUGGCGUUGAUGUUCGUGCUUGAAGCAUGCCUUGCUGCAUAACAUUCUUCGCUUGACGUUAGCUCAAUUUCCGUAGACAAAUGGCGUACGGCUAGCGGACGUACAGCGUGUGAGUGGGGUGUUAUUUGCAUUGCUGUUGCCGCCGUUAUUGCAUGUUUUAUAGAGAUUGUCAGCAAAUGGGGUUAUUCGCGUUGAAUACACACAUACGGAUGCAUAAUGAAUGAAUGCACAUAUGUUUACUUCAAUGUACAGUUAACUGAAGAAAUGUUCAGCUCUUAAAUAGUCAUUUAUUUUGUGCUUUGAAAUGUUAUGAGUACUUACAUUUAACUUCACGUGACAUAAAUAUUUCAAAUAAAAAUGUAAAAACAGUUCGGAAGCACAUCUUGUGGGAAAUUCAAAAAAAAAAAAACAACUUUCUACAUUUCGAUAGGUUAUAACUUUAAAAUAACAUACAAAUAAUUUAAAUCAAAAUAAUUUUUGAGUUACAGCCACAGCUCAGUUCAAUCAGUCAAUCGAAGAAUUUAUCUUAAAGGGGGUGUUCCAGUGUUGAAUUAAAAAAAAAUAGAUUUUUUUCAUAUUUUCAAAGUUUAACUUUUUAAGAAUAUGUCCACGAGAGGAUUUUUAAACAUUUAAAUUAUUUUCGGAGAUAUAGACUAUUUAAGAAUAUGUCUGCGAGAGGAUUUUUGAUUUCGAGGAUAAAUUUAAAUUAUUUUCGGAGAUUUUUACUGACCCGUCCUCUAAACUGGUGCCACUUGGUUCAAAUCGAACAAAAGACUUUACGCGAAACUUUAAAUGCGUCUUUCUCAGACCAGACAUAUUCAAUACGAUACCCACGAAUUCUCGAGUUCUACUGAAAUUUUCAGAGAAUCUUCUUUAUAUAAUAAAUCUCUCUCGAU